CGCGGCCUAUCAGCUUGUUGGUGAGGUAACGGCUCACCAAGGCGACGACGGGUAGCCGGCCUGAGAGGGAGACCGGCCACACUGGGACUGAGACACGGCCCAGACUCCUACGGGAGGCAGCAGUGGGGAAUAUUGCACAAUGGGCGCAAGCCUGAUGCAGCAACGCCGCGUGAGGGAUGACGGCCUUCGGGUUGUAAACCUCUUUUAGCAGGGAAGAAGCGAAAGUGACGGUACCUGCAGAAAAAGCACCGGCUAACUACGUGCCAGCAGCCGCGGUAAUACGUAGGGUGCAAGCGUUGUCCGGAAUUAUUGGGCGUAAAGAGCUCGUAGGCGGUUUGUCACGUCUGCUGUGAAAAUCCAAGGCUCAACCUUGGACUUGCAGUGGGUACGGGCAGGCUAGAGUGCGGUAGGGGAGAUGGGAAUUCCUGGUGUAGCGGUGGAAUGCGCAGAUAUCAGGAGGAACACCAGCGGCGAAGGCGGCACUCUGGGCCGGUACUGACGCUGAGGAGCGAAAGCAUGGGGAGCAAACAGGAUUAGAUACCCUGGUAGUCCAUGCCGUAAACGUUGGGCACUAGGUAUGGGAUCAUAUCAACGGAUUCCGUGCCGUAGCUAACGCAUUAAGUGCCCCGCCUGGGGAGUACGG
This 643-nucleotide ribosomal RNA is filed under the name uncultured Actinomycetes bacterium. RNAcentral describes it as "bacterial SSU rRNA". It matches the Rfam family "Bacterial small subunit ribosomal RNA", at positions 232 to 885 of the family's 1533-position model. The record is from RNAcentral. Lineage: Bacteria; Bacillati; Actinomycetota; Actinomycetes.